CCCUUCUGUUAAAAUUAUUAGGUCUAGCCUGCCCACUGAAUUUUGAAUGGCUGCGGUAUUUUGACCGUACUAAGGUAGCAUAAUCAUUAGUUUUUUAAUUGAAAGCUGGAAUGAAGGGUUGGAUGAAAAAAUUUCUGUCUCUAAAUAAUUUUAUUAGAAUUUUAUUUUUAAGUUAAAAAGCUUAAAUAUUUUUAAAAGACGAGAAGACCCUAUAGAGUUUUAUAAAUUAAUUUUUAAUAAAUUUUAGUUAAUUUAAUUUUUAUAAUAAAUUAAUUUAUUUAAUUGGGGUGAUUAAAAAAUUUAAAAAACUUUUUUUUUAUUAAAAUAUUUAUUUAUAAAUUUUUGAUCCAAUAAUUUUGAUUAUAAGAAAAAAUUACCUUAGGGAUAACAGCGUAAUUUUAUUUAGAGUUCAAAUCAAAAAUAAAGAUUGCGACCUCUUGGUUGGAUUAA
Molecule: ribosomal RNA, 450 nt
Filed under: Clitea fulva
Lineage: Eukaryota; Metazoa; Arthropoda; Insecta; Coleoptera; Chrysomelidae
Description: partial 16S ribosomal RNA
Source: RNAcentral